This 240-nucleotide ribosomal RNA is filed under the name uncultured Glomus. RNAcentral's name for it is "partial 18S ribosomal RNA". It matches the Rfam family "Eukaryotic small subunit ribosomal RNA", at positions 539 to 786 of the family's 1831-position model. Lineage: Eukaryota; Fungi; Glomeromycota; Glomeromycetes; Glomerales; Glomeraceae. The record is from RNAcentral.
GGGGGUUGGAGGGCAAGUCUGGUGCCAGCAGCCGCGGUAACUCCAGCUCCAAUAGCGUAUAUUAAAGUUGUUGCAGUUAAAAAGCUCGUAGUUGUAUUUCGAGAUCAAAUUGUUGGUCGUGCCUUGGUACGUACUGACAUUAUUGGUUUCUCCCUUCUGAAGAACCAUGAUGUCAUUAAUUUGGUGUCAUGGGAAAUCAGGACUGUUACUUUGAAAAAAUUAGAGUGUUUAAAGCAGGCA